UAAUGUUUAUGAGAUUUGAUUGAAGACAAAUCUGUCACGGCAAUCUGUGAAUGCUUUGUUGUAAAUAAAAGGUAAUCCUUGUAAUAAGCAAAAACAAAUUAACAUAACAAAUGUCAAUUUACAGAUAGACAAAAAGUGAUUGUUUUCUGGAUGAAAAGAGGAUUAUUAACAGUUGGCAUAACAAAUCAAAAAUUAGUUCAACAAUUAGUCAUAUGGAAAUGUCAAAUAUUGACAUUAAUGUGAUAAAGAAAACAAGAGUUUCUGCAAAUAACCUCCCAUCCCUGAUGUGAGUCUUUCACGUCAUUCUAUAGUUCAACUAGUUCUUAAUAACUCAAAAACAGGAAAGAUAAAAUCCAUCAUUUUGUUUUACUACCCAGAUCCCUCCCGUAGCUGUCAUACAGAGUGUGAUUUAUGACUUGUAAGUUGUGCUAUGGAGCUUGACAACGAAACCUUCAAUACAUUUAUGAAGAGAGCACUACCGAGACUUCAUACAAUGGAAUAAAAUAACAAAACGUGCUGACAGCAUUCUUCUACUGAAAGAGAAAAAGUACUUCAACUCGGCCGGGCGCGGUGGCUCACGCCUGCAAGCCUGUAAUCUCAGCACUUUGGGAAGCCGAGACGAGCGGAUCACGAGAUCAGGAGAUCGAGACCAUCCUGGCUAACACGGUGAAACCGCGUCUCUACUAAAAAAAAAAAAAAAAAUUAGCCGGGCGCGGUGGCGGGUGCCUGUAGUCCCAGCUACUCCGGAGGCUGAGGCAGGAGAAUGGCGUGAACCCAGGAGGCGGAGCUUGCAGUGAGCCGAGAUCGCGCCAUUGCACUCCAGCCUGAGCGACAGAGCGAGACUCCGUUUCAAAAAAAAAAAAAAAGUACUUUAACUCAUUUUCAUUUUUGUAGGACUUGAAUUUUUUAGGGCAGUUUCAGUUUCACAGAAAAAUUAAGAGGAAGACAUAGAGAUUUACCAUAUAUAUGUAGUAAUAUAUAUUAUAUAUGGUAAUAUACCAUAUAUUACUAUAUAUAUAUAUGUAUAAAACAAGCAUGUGGAGGCAGGGUAUAUUUUAUAUAUAUAUACACACACACACCCUGACAUAAUAUAUAUAUAUACACACACACACACACCCUGACAUAAUGUGUAUAUAUAAUCUAUGUUAUAUAUUAUAUUAUAUAUGUAAUAUAUCCUGCCUCCACAUGCAUGGCCUCCUUCAUAAUCAAUAUCUUCCUCCAGAGUGGUACGACUGUUAAAAUUGCCUCGCCUACAUUAAUACAAUUUUAUUACCCAGUGGUAAAUAUACAUAACAUAAAAGGUACCAUUUAAUCAUUUUCAAUUCUAAAACUCAGUGAUAUUGAAUACAUUCACAAUGUUGUAUAAUUAACACUGUUUUCAUAACUUUUCUAUCACAUCAAACAGAAGUUCUGUACCAUUAAGCACUAAUUCUCCAUUCCCCUUGCCCCAGCCUCCACGCCCUGGCAACAUGCAAUCUGCAUUCCCUCUGCAUGAAUUUGACUAUUCAUGAUCUUUCAUAUAAGUAGAAUCAUAUACUGUUUGUCCUUUUGUGUCUGGCUUAUUUUAUUUAGCAUAAUGUUUUCAAGGUUUACCCAUGUUGUAAACAUGUAUCAGAACAUCAUUCCCUUUUUAUGGCUAAAUAAUCUUCCCUUGUAUGUACAUGCCACAUUUUGUUUAUCUACACAUACAGCUUUGUUUUCACUUUUUGACUCUUGUGAAUAAGAAUGAGUGAUGGUAUCUGGUGUGUGCAUACAGCCAUUUUCUUACUAAAGGCCAAUAGCAUCAAGCAGUCUACUAAUGGUUGUUAUUUAUCGGAUUAGGAUCCAGAGUUCCAAAAAGGUUAAUUCUUAUUUUUUCCAGUUUAAUGGCAGUUUUUGUGGAGGGAUUGACUUCUAUAAUUUCCUAUUCCAAUCUUCUAAAAUCCACUUUAAAAGAAUGGUUUAAAUUGUGUGCUUGUAGGAUGAAAUUGAUAAACAAUUAUUUUAAUAACUUUCAAAAUUACAUCAUAAUGUCCUUUGACUAUUGGGUGUUCACAUAUUUGGCAUGUUAUGAACAACUUUCUGGAAGAUAAAGGCCUUUUAUCUCAUACUUAAUAUUAAGACAGGAACCAGUGUGCUAGCAAUGGCUUUUGGGUUUGAUGUGAUAUAUUUGUAUGUAAUGAUUUUUUAAAACUUAGAGAGAAAAAUCCUCUCAUACAAAACAAAAUAGUUUUUACUGUUAUGAGAAAGUAGUUAUUAAUUACUUAUAAAACAUGCAAGUAUCUUUAUGAUAUUUGGUGAUUUAUUUUUCUCCAGCCAUCUUGUCUUGUUGUUAGUGGGGAAAAAAAUAGGGAUGCUCUUUAUCUAUGAAAAUGUGAAAAGUAUAUACACAUUUUAACUAUACAUGGUUUCCCUAAAAAUUCUUCUUCUGUUUUUAAUCCUCUAAAAUGAUCAUUGAUAUGUACAAAUAAAUACUGAUGAUAGCAACUGAAGGAUCAUUUUUGCUGUUAUCAGAAAUUGAAAAUACUGUAACAGUCUAUCAAUAGAGAAAUGGUUAUGUGCAUUAUGAUACAUAGCAUAUGUCCAUAUUUAGAAUACGUACCAAAUGUAUACAACAAAGUACAAUGAAUACAUGAUUAUACUAAGAUGGAUAGGCAUGGAUCCACAUUACUCUGUUUGUACAUGGUCUUUUCCAAACAGAAAUACAAUGUAAGAAAGAAGAAAAGAAAAAUAAAGAGAAAGAGAAUAAAGGCGACAAAAUAAAAUAUAAACCAGGAUGCAUAAGCUGGUCUCACCU
Molecule: long non-coding RNA, 2776 nt
Organism: Pan troglodytes (chimpanzee)
Lineage: Eukaryota; Metazoa; Chordata; Mammalia; Primates; Hominidae
Exons: 3
Source: RefSeq, a predicted model, not a curated record